Molecule: ribosomal RNA, 497 nt
Filed under: uncultured bacterium
Lineage: Bacteria
Description: partial 16S ribosomal RNA
Rfam family: Bacterial small subunit ribosomal RNA
Source: RNAcentral
GAUGAACGCUGGCGGCGUGCCUAAUACAUGCAAGUAGAACGCUGAAGGAAGGAGCUUGCUCUUUCCGGAUGAGUUGCGAACGGGUGAGUAACGCGUAGGUAACCUGCCUGGUAGCGGGGGAUAACUAUUGGAAACGAUAGCUAAUACCGCAUAACAGUAGAUGUUGCAUGAUAUCUACUUAAAAGGUGCAAUUGCACCACUACCAGAUGGACCUGCGUUGUAUUAGCUAGUUGGUGAGGUAACGGCUCACCAAGGCGACGAUACAUAGCCGACCUGAGAGGGUGAUCGGCCACACUGGGACUGAGACACGGCCCAGACUCCUACGGGAGGCAGCAGAAGGGAAUCUUCGGCAAUGGACGGAAGUCUGACCGAGCAACGCCGCGUGAGUGAAGAAGGUUUUCGGAUCGUAAAGCUCUGUUGUAAGAGAAGAACGAGUGUGAGAGUGGAAAGUUCGCACUGUGACGGUAUCUUACCAGAAAGAGACGGCUAACUACGUG